AGGACGAACGCUGGCGGCGUGCUUAACACAUGCAAGUCGAACGAGGUGCUUCGGCACUUAGUGGCGAACGGGUGAGUAACACGUGAGCAACCUGCCCUUGGCUCUGGGAUAGCCUCCGGAAACGGGGAUUAAUACCGGACAUGACUCUCUCCUGCAUGGGGGAGGGUGGAAAGUUUUUCGGCCAGGGAGGGGCUCGCGGCCUAUCAGCUUGUUGGGGGGGUAACGCCCACCAAGGCGACGACGGGUAG
RNAcentral lists this ribosomal RNA (248 nucleotides) under uncultured bacterium. RNAcentral's name for it is "partial small subunit ribosomal RNA". It matches the Rfam family "Bacterial small subunit ribosomal RNA", at positions 26 to 286 of the family's 1533-position model. The record is from RNAcentral.